Molecule: ribosomal RNA, 447 nt
Filed under: uncultured bacterium
Lineage: Bacteria
Description: bacterial SSU rRNA
Rfam family: Bacterial small subunit ribosomal RNA
Source: RNAcentral
ACCAGACUCCUACGGGAGGCAGCAGUGGGGAAUAUUGCACAAUGGGCGAAAGCCUGAUGCAGCAACGCCGCGUGAAGGAAGAAGGGUUUCGGCUCGUAAACUUCUCUCAACAGGGACGAAAGAAAUGACGGUACCUGAAUAAGAAGCCCCGGCUAACUACGUGCCAGCAGCCGCGGUAAUACGUGGGGGGCAAGCGUUAUCCGGAUUUAUUGGGUUUAAAGGGGGCGUAGGCGGAAUGCCAAGUCAGCGGUAAAAUCGGGGGGCUCAACCUCGCUCCGCCGUUGAAACUGAUGAUCUUGAGUGGGCGAGAAGUAUGCGGAAUGCGUGGUGUAGCGGUGAAAUGCAUAGAUAUCACGCAGAACUCCGAUUGCGAAGGCAGCAUACCGGCGCGCAACUGACGCUCAUGCACGAAAGCGUGGGUAUCGAACAGGAUUAGAUACCCGAGUA